RNAcentral lists this ribosomal RNA (253 nucleotides) under uncultured bacterium. RNAcentral describes it as "partial 16S ribosomal RNA". It matches the Rfam family "Bacterial small subunit ribosomal RNA", at positions 524 to 776 of the family's 1533-position model. The record is from RNAcentral.
UACGGAGGGUGCAAGCAUUGAUCGGAAUUACUGGGCGUAAAGGGCGCGUAGGCGGCUCGAAAAGUCAGAUGUGAAAUACCGGGGCUCAACUCCGGGGCUGCAUUUGAAACUGCCGAGCUAGAGGAUGGUUAGGGAAAACGGAAUUCCACGUGUAGCGGUGAAAUGCGUAGAUAUGUGGAAGAACACCAGUGGUGAAGACGGUUUUCUGGGCCAAACCUGACGCUGAGGCGCGAAAGCUAGGGGAGCAAACAGG